AGAAAAGCCAGUUAUCAAUUUUAAGGGUUACAUGGUGGGAAAUGCGGUCACGGACCCAAAAUUUGAUGGGGAUGCUCUUGUUCCUUUUGCCCACGGUAUGGCCCUCAUCUCAGAUGAUAUCUAUGAGGAAGCUCGAGCUGCUUGCAAAGGAAACUACUACAGUAACUCUGAAAAGGGUCAUUGCAACUCAAAA
Morus notabilis is the source of this 193-nucleotide long non-coding RNA. RefSeq lists it as uncharacterized. The record is from RefSeq and is a predicted model, not a curated record. The transcript has 3 exons. NCBI's taxonomy places the organism in Eukaryota, Viridiplantae, Streptophyta, Magnoliopsida, Rosales, Moraceae.